This 484-nucleotide ribosomal RNA is filed under the name uncultured Anoxybacillus sp. Its description in RNAcentral is "bacterial SSU rRNA". It matches the Rfam family "Bacterial small subunit ribosomal RNA", at positions 910 to 1382 of the family's 1533-position model. The record is from RNAcentral. Lineage: Bacteria; Bacillati; Bacillota; Bacilli; Caryophanales; Anoxybacillaceae.
CUUAAAAUGAAGUUCGACGGGGGCCCGCACAAGCGGUGGAGCAUGUGGUUUAAUUCGAAGCAACGCGAAGAACCUUACCAGGUCUUGACAUCCCUGACAACCGAGAGAUCGGGCGUUCCCCUCGGGGGACAGGGUGACAGGUGGUGCAUGGGUUGUCGUCAGCUCGUGUCGUGAGAUGUUGGGUUAAGUCCCGCAACGAGCGCAACCCUCGACCUUAGUUGCCAGCAUUCAGUUGGGCACUCUAAGGUGACUGCCGGCUAAAAGUCGGAGGAAGGUGGGAUGACGUCAAAUCAUCAUGCCCCUUAUGUUCUGGGCUACACACGUGCUACAAUGGCCGGUACAGACGGACGCAAAGCCGCGAGGUGGAGCAAAUCCUAAAAAGCCAGUCUCAGUUCGGAUUGCAGGCUGCAAUUCCGCCUGCAUGAAGUCGGAAUCGCUAGUAAUCGCAGGUCAGCAUACUGCGGUGAAUACGUUCCCGGGCCUU